Molecule: transfer RNA, 74 nt
Filed under: Aedes aegypti (yellow fever mosquito)
Lineage: Eukaryota; Metazoa; Arthropoda; Insecta; Diptera; Culicidae
Rfam family: tRNA
About the family: Transfer RNA (tRNA) molecules are approximately 80 nucleotides in length. Their secondary structure includes four short double-helical elements and three loops (D, anti-codon, and T loops).
Source: Rfam by way of RNAcentral
CCUCUCAUGGCGUAGUGGUUAACGCGCCCCAACUAGAGAUCGGGGAGUCGUGAGUUCGAUUCACACUGAGAAGA